Molecule: ribosomal RNA, 399 nt
Filed under: uncultured bacterium
Lineage: Bacteria
Description: partial 16S ribosomal RNA
Rfam family: Bacterial small subunit ribosomal RNA
Source: RNAcentral
AAUAUUGCACAAAGGAGGAAACUCUGAUGCAGCGACGCCUCGUGAACGAUUAAAGACUUCGGGUCGUUAAGUUCUGUCUUAGGGGACGAAAAUGACGGUAGCCUGGGAGUACUCCCCGGCUAACUACGUGCCAGCACCCGCGGUAAUACGUAGGGGGCAAGCGUUGUCCGGAUUUAUUGGGCGUAAAGCGCGCGCAGGCGGUCUGGAAAGUCGGAUGUGAAACCCCGGGGCUCGCCCCCGAGCCUGCAUACGAAACUUCCAGACUUGAGAGUGAGAGAGGGGAGUGGAAUUCCUAGUGUAGCGGUGAAAUGCGUAGAUAUUAGGAGGAACACCAGUGGCGAAGGCGACUCCCUGGCUUACCACUGACGCUGAGGCGCGAAAGCGUGGGUAGCGAACAGG